Molecule: long non-coding RNA, 540 nt
Organism: Felis catus (domestic cat)
Lineage: Eukaryota; Metazoa; Chordata; Mammalia; Carnivora; Felidae
Exons: 4
Source: RefSeq, a predicted model, not a curated record
AAUGACUGAGAGUGGCAGGAAUAUGAAGGCAGACCCAUUCCUGGGAGACAUGGGACUCCUCUGGUGGGCAACCCUGGUUUGAGGACAUUCUCAGACAGCUUUGUCAAACCUCCCUUAUACUGCAGAUGUCUGGCCAACGUUGAAAAUGUUUCCAAGAAAAUUCAUUCUACUCUUAUUACUAACAUCAUCAGAAAGGACUUUUGAACAGUUAAAAAUGUCAAUGAAUUGUUUGAGAAGCUGGAAGUAAUGCCUCUGGAAGUGUUCAAGUAAAGGAACCUAAUUUAACACAGCUUAGCUUUUGAAGAAGACUAAGAUUUGUUUGUUCAAAUAAACAGGGAAGUGUAAAGCCAGUGGGGAUCAUAUGACCAAGGCAGUGAAACAAGGGCUUCAUGAUAAAUAUGCCAUGGACAAAGGUCAAGCAAAGGAUAAUAACUCAAUUCCUUAAAUGAAAGCUUCAAAGUAAAUCUUCUGUGUUUAACAGCAGUAUACAGGGGUCAAGAUUACAAUGUCCCAGACUAGAGAAUAAAAUGUGUGUUAAUA